Pieris napi is the source of this 540-nucleotide long non-coding RNA. RefSeq lists it as uncharacterized. The record is from RefSeq and is a predicted model, not a curated record. Lineage: Eukaryota; Metazoa; Arthropoda; Insecta; Lepidoptera; Pieridae. The transcript is spliced from 2 exons.
UAACAGCGCUCCCUUCGUCACUGACGUAAUUUUUGGAAUCUCAUGGUAUUCUGUUAAGAAAUUUUACAUUACGUCUUGAUAAGUGGAGGGAGGUAACCUAGUGAGUUGUUGUCUAUUAAUAUCGUGACAAUUGACUCAUUUUAUUUUAUAAAAAGAGUUAAUUGUCAAAAUUUUCAUCAUACAUAAGCAAAAUAUUUUUAAUAAAACAAAAUUACGUAUUUUGUUUAUAACUUCCAAUUAAGAGUUUAUAUUUCGUAUUUACCCGACAACUGACCAGCCGUGGUGUAUAUGAGCGACAGAAACUUAAAAAUAUUAAUUAUGUUUCAGCACGAAACAAGGGAUACCUAACAUCUGGAUAUAUUGUAAAACAUUUAAGAAUAUUAUCUUAACAAAAAGAUAAAAGAUGAUGUCACGCUUAAAGUGAUUCUCUCAGCAAAUGGGCUACGGAUUCAAAGUAAACAGGAUGGAUAGGUGUUUUAAAUUUUCAAAAUGUUACUAAAGGUAACCAAGCCAUCAGUGGUAGUUGUCAAGAAUGAGGAA